GUUUGAAUGAUGACUUCAUAAAAGUCGGAUACCCCUUCACUCUCUAUGAGUGACAAUAAUAGUCUGACAAAC
Small nucleolar RNA from Protobothrops mucrosquamatus (brown spotted pit viper), 72 nucleotides. RefSeq annotates it as small nucleolar RNA SNORD101. The record is from RefSeq and is a predicted model, not a curated record. The transcript has a single exon. NCBI's taxonomy places the organism in Eukaryota, Metazoa, Chordata, Lepidosauria, Squamata, Viperidae.